This 404-nucleotide ribosomal RNA is filed under the name uncultured bacterium. RNAcentral describes it as "partial 16S ribosomal RNA". It matches the Rfam family "Bacterial small subunit ribosomal RNA", at positions 28 to 526 of the family's 1533-position model. The record is from RNAcentral.
GCCGAACGCUGGCGGCGUGCCUAAUACAUGCAAGUCGAACGAGUGGCGGACGGGUGAGUGAUGCUUGGGAAUCUGGCUUAUGGGGGGGAUAACGACGGGAACCUGUCGCUAAUACCGCGUACCAUAGGAUGAGCCCAAGUGGGAUGAGGUAGUUGGGGGGGUAAUGGCCUACCAAGCCGACGAUCUCUAGCUGGUCUGAGAGGGUGACCGGCCACACUGGGACUGAGACACGGCCCGGACUCCUACGGGAGGCAGCAGUGGGGAAUAUUGGGCAAUGGAGGAAAGCUGACGCAGCCAUGCCGCGUGAAUGAAGAAGGCUUUCGGGUUGUAAAGUUCUGUUGGUGACGAGGCGUUAACCAAAGAAGAAGCAACGGCUAACUCCGUGCCAGCAGCCGCGGUAAUUC